GACGAACGCUGGCGGCGUGCUUAACACACGCAAGUCGAACGAUGAAGCCGGAGCUUGCUCUGGUGAAUUAGUGGCGAACGGGUGAGUAACACGUGAGUAACCUGCCCUUGACUCUGGGAUAACUGCUAGAAAUGGUAGCUAAUACCGGAUACGACCCUCGGAGGCAUCUUCAGGGGGUGGAAAGAAUUUCGGUCAAGGAUGGACUCGCGGCCUAUCAGCUAGUUGGUGAGGUAAUGGCUCACCAAGGCGACGACGGGUAGCCGGCCUGGGAGGGUGACCGGCCACACUGGGACUGAGACACGGCCCAGACUCCUACGGGAGGCAGCAGUGGGGAAUAUUGCACAAUGGGCGCAAGCCUGAUGCAGCAACGCCGCGUGAGGGAUGACGGCCUUCGGGUUGUAAACCUCUUUUAGCAGGGAAGAAGCGAAAGUGACGGUACCUGCAGAAAAAGCACCGGCUAACUACGUGCCAGCCGCCGCAGUAA
This 484-nucleotide ribosomal RNA is filed under the name uncultured bacterium. RNAcentral's name for it is "partial 16S ribosomal RNA". It matches the Rfam family "Bacterial small subunit ribosomal RNA", at positions 28 to 523 of the family's 1533-position model. The record is from RNAcentral.